UGCAGAGUGGAGCAAUCUGGUAGCUCGUGAGUUUCAUAGUCUUGAGGUUAUGGGUUCAAAUCCCGUCUCUGCAU
Molecule: transfer RNA, 74 nt
Filed under: Thismia panamensis
Lineage: Eukaryota; Viridiplantae; Streptophyta; Magnoliopsida; Dioscoreales; Thismiaceae
Description: tRNA-fMet
Rfam family: tRNA
About the family: Transfer RNA (tRNA) molecules are approximately 80 nucleotides in length. Their secondary structure includes four short double-helical elements and three loops (D, anti-codon, and T loops). Further hydrogen bonds mediate the characteristic L-shaped molecular structure. tRNAs have two regions of fundamental functional importance: the anti-codon, which is responsible for specific mRNA codon recognition, and the 3' end, to which the tRNAs corresponding amino acid is attached (by aminoacyl-tRNA synthetases). tRNAs cope with the degeneracy of the genetic code in two manners: having more than one tRNA (with a specific anti-codon) for a particular amino acid; and 'wobble' base-pairing, i.e. permitting non-standard base-pairing at the 3rd anti-codon position.
Source: RNAcentral